RNAcentral lists this ribosomal RNA (577 nucleotides) under Bacillus subtilis. RNAcentral describes it as "bacterial SSU rRNA". It matches the Rfam family "Bacterial small subunit ribosomal RNA", at positions 69 to 629 of the family's 1533-position model. The record is from RNAcentral. Lineage: Bacteria; Bacillati; Bacillota; Bacilli; Caryophanales; Bacillaceae.
ACAGAUGGGAGCUUGCUCCCUGAUGUUAGCGGCGGACGGGUGAGUAACACGUGGGUAACCUGCCUGUAAGACUGGGAUAACUCCGGGAAACCGGGGCUAAUACCGGAUGCUUGUUUGAACCGCAUGGUUCAAACAUAAAAGGUGGCUUCGGCUACCACUUACAGAUGGACCCGCGGCGCAUUAGCUAGUUGGUGAGGUAAUGGCUCACCAAGGCGACGAUGCGUAGCCGACCUGAGAGGGUGAUCGGCCACACUGGGACUGAGACACGGCCCAGACUCCUACGGGAGGCAGCAGUAGGGAAUCUUCCGCAAUGGACGAAAGUCUGACGGAGCAACGCCGCGUGAGUGAUGAAGGUUUUCGGAUCGUAAAGCUCUGUUGUUAGGGAAGAACAAGUACCGUUCGAAUAGGGCGGUACCUUGACGGUACCUAACCAGAAAGCCACGGCUAACUACGUGCCAGCAGCCGCGGUAAUACGUAGGUGGCAAGCGUUGUCCGGAAUUAUUGGGCGUAAAGGGCUCGCAGGCGGUUUCUUAAGUCUGAUGUGAAAGCCCCCGGCUCAACCGGGGAGGGUCAUUGG